This 120-nucleotide small RNA is filed under the name Sinorhizobium meliloti 2011. RNAcentral's name for it is "putative ncRNA". Lineage: Bacteria; Pseudomonadati; Pseudomonadota; Alphaproteobacteria; Hyphomicrobiales; Rhizobiaceae. The record is from RNAcentral.
GCCGAAGACCGACCAUUUCAUCGGCUCGCGGCCGAUGAAGAGAUUGCGGGCAAUCGACAUGGUCGGAACCAUGGAAUUGUACUGAUAGAUCGUCUCCAGCCCGUAGCGCAUCGCAUCCUU